UCAGAGACUCAUGUGCACGUUUGUAGAGCUUGUAUCAGAUGUCCUUGCAAGUCUAUCUUAAUCUCAAAUAUUGAGUAAUGAAAGAUAGUGAGAGCAUUUCCUGUAAGUGUUCAUUUUCAAUGACUUGUUUCGUCAUAUUUGUCCUUUGUUAAAGGGGUAAUCUCUCCUGAAAAGAUAUGUUUGUAAUCAAACAUUGGAUAGCAUUAUGUAUUUUGUCACAUCUAAAAAAGUUGGCUGGGGUGUACCGAUUCCAUGGAACAUGGUUUAUGAACUGAUACAUAAAAUGACGCUGGAUUAAAAACUUUGAGUUUUUCAAUUUAAAUUAUUAUACAAGAUGAUUGCAAACAGUAGAGUGUAAUAUAUAUGGGCAAUACAACCAUCCCAGCUCUGCAAAAUUUGGUGCGUAGAGACAAUCAUUAGAUCACUUAUUUUUGGUUCUCCCCAUAUGUAUUUUGUUUUUGGUCACACGUUCAAGAAUGGCUGAAGAAUUGCAACAUUUACCUGGAGCUACCUCUGCAAAUAGCACUGCUGGGUGAUUUAAAAAGUCAUAGUCAAUCAAUCAAUAAUAUAAUAAUACAUACUCUUAGCUAAAUGUUUAUCUUUAAUGUACAAUCUGUAGAAACUAUGGGAAUAGAAAGAUUCAGAACCUUCUGAAAACGUCACAGCACAGUUGAAAAUAUAUGGCAAAUAGAAAUGAAAACAUGAUGCUCUUCAGAGAUAGAUGGGGGGAGUUUUGAGUAGCUUAAUGGUGGGACAGAAAGAGAUAACUAAUGUAAAAUGUUUAUAUUUUGUGUAAGCUGGAAGUAGAGUUGUCCAUUAGUUUACUCCAGUUUGGGGUGGGGUGGUAGGCUUAGGGGAAAAUAAUAGAGUAAGAAAAUACACUGCUCAAAAAAAUAAAGGGAACACUUAAACAACACAAUGUAACUCCAAGUCAAUCACACUUCUGUGAAAUCAAAUUGUCCACUUAGGAAGCAACACUGAUUGACAAUAAAAAAGUAGCGGAAGUAGCGGUCCUGCUGCUGGGUUGUUGCCCUCCUACGGCCUCCUCCACAUCUCCUGAUGUACUGGCCUGUCUCCUGGUAGCGCCUCCAUGCUCUGGACACUACGCUGACAGACACAGCAAACCUUUUUGCCACAGCUCGCAUUGAUGUGCCAUCCUGGAUGAACUGCACUACCUGAGCCACUUGUGUGGCAUCUUAGUACAUACUCUGCUGUUCUAUUGUGUGGGUAAUAAUGUUUAAUGAUGUCUGAUGAUUUUGUCUUUGUUGUUUGAAUGAAUGUCUUUGCUGUAAAUCGCAAACUGAAGUGGCAGUUUCACCUCUAUGGAUUCCAACUUUCAGGUCAGGGUCAGAAGGAGACAUAAACUGGGUACUGGAUGGAGAGGUUGAGACAUGACUAGAGGAGGGGUGUGGUCUGAGGAGGAAGAAAGAUACAGUUCCUAGUAAUAUGUAUUCUGUAGAACUAUGAUAGGUUAAUAAUUUGCCACCUUAACUGGACAAACUGUAUAAAAGAGACACUCAGCGCUCUCAUGUGUACACUUUCUCCCAGAGAAGAAACUUUCUCCCAGAGAAGACACUUUCUCCCAGAGACGUCUGACACUCCAGAACAGAGGAAGAACACAACAUCACUGGUAAAGAAAUGACUUCCAAUCAAGAGUUCUGAUGUGAAUAUGAGUAUGUCUGUUUGUUACUUUAAAGGGCAGGGUGGUGUUAGAAUAAUAGGUUGCACACUUGCUCCACUAGCCCCAUAACACCUGAUUCAGAUGACCAAAGGAUCAUAGUCUUCAAUUUAGAUCAAAAUUCAUGUUAAACUGAGCAAAACAGAUAUGUGAUCAAUGCUGUUCUCUAGGGGGCGUUGUUACCACUCCUGGUCUAUGUGAUUAUGUGUUGUAGUGUUUCUUUUUCAGUUAACUUAUGAAUUAAUAUAUUUGUAUAAUUAAUAAUUUGACUCAGCCGAGCCCAUGUUUCUGUUUUAGUAUCUGUUCAGGGCAUUUUUCGUGCAUCCUUGAAGUCAUCAUUUUGAUAAGCCAUGUUUCCCCUUUAGAACACCUGGAGAAAAUGCUUAAAAAAGCUAGCCGUUAAUUAUUUCAUAUUUUAUACUUAUCAAAUGUCCUGGUCUUUGGUGUAUUUAGUGUCGUUUCUUGCUUCAUAUGAGGUGUUGACCAAUUUCACUAUUUAUUCUUACUUUACAGACACUUGUCUCCAACUACACAAAAUGGCUUCUAAAUACAUCACAGAUAUUGCAAUCUCCACCAGCAUUAAAAAGGAGCAACAGCUUCGUGGGCAAGGCUUUCACAUGAUGGAUGUCAACCUCAACCAAGGCAAUUUAUCCACCACCAUAAUUUACAUGUGGUACAAAAAGGGCAAUGAAGAACCCAUCACCAGAGUCCAGUUUUCAUUCACUGAGGAAAUGAAAGAUGGCCCGAGGAGUGCAGGGUACACUGAGCUUCCCGAAGACCUCAACUUUGGAGCAAGGGGAGACACCAUCCAGCUGUGGUACUCUAGUGGUGCAAGCCCUAAGUACGACAUUCCCAUUGUAGAUCUCCUACUCACCACUAAUGUGAAUGCAGAGGCCGCUCAAUUCAAACACGGCUGGGAAAGGCUACCGUGUGAUCUGAACCGCGGUAACUCAGGAGAUUACAUCUACCUCUGGGUGAAGAGAGAGAGUGUGACCUACAUCUGCGAUGUUGCUGCCACCACCUCAUUCCAAGAAGACAUCAACCUUUUCAACGAGGGCUACAUCCGGAUGGAUGAAGAUCUCAAUAGAGGUGCUGGAGGAAACUGGAUCUUCCUCUGGUAUCGCCAAUCCACCGAUAAGGGCUGCGGGCUCACCAAGGUGAAUGUGUCCGUCAACCAUGAGCAGGAUUUCAGCCUACAGCAGCGCGGUUUCUCCGUGGUGAAUGUUAACCUCAACGAGGGAACAUCCGGUCAGCCAGUGUUUGUCUGGCUGAAGAAAGAUGGAUCUCACCCUAUCAAGGCCUUGACCGUUACAUCCAACCACAAGGCAGAUGGUCCUUAUGAGGAGGCCGGCUUGGUUGUCAUUGAAAAAAGUCUGAAUACUGGCAACAACGGUGUGCCCGUCUUCCUCUGGUAUGGCAAGUAAAAACCUGAGGUGGAGAGGAAGUGUCAGACUAAAAAUGUGCAAGAUGCUAGCUUGUGCAUGGAAAUUUCUCUGUCUAUUUUCUGUAAAAAAAAAUAUUAUUAUCUUUCCAACCAAUUUUAAUAAUUAAAUGUAAUAAUUAAAUGACACUAAAUGUUAGCUUUCGUGUCAUAAAGUCACUGUCAUAGAUCAUUAAGGAAUGUUUUCAGGUUGACUUUAAUGUUCUUUCCAAUCAAUUCACAAUAAUUAUGUUAUUCAGUUUUACUAUAACAUUUUAGCAGCAGAUUUAACUUUUGUAUGAAUAUUUCAAGGGGUUGUAAGGUAUGAUGUCUCAUUGUGUCAAAUGUGACUUUGGAAAAGCUUUAGUACAGCAAUAGAAAUAAAGUCAAAUGAUGAUUUCUGUGUAACACUGAGAAUCCCAGUCUGUUCAUCAAUAAAGAAAGCUUUACAAAUCUGAAUGUUGUACCUUUUUAAUAACUCCCCAGUGAAAAUCUCACUUUUAAAAGUUCCUUUUCUAUUAACUCAUGUCCAAAUGAUGUUGUUGACUCGUCUUAUACUCGUAUUUGUGGCCAAAGAGAGGGACUGUAAGACGGUGGGUGUCAAAGGUCACAAGAGUGGAAGGUCAUGGGUCGAUGUGUUAAGGAGUAGGGUGAUGUUGACCCUAGAAACUGAUCUUUGGUCAAUUUUGCACUUACGAUUGGGGAAGGGGAAGCUGAUCCUAGAUCUGUACCUAGGGGAAACUUCACCCCAGACUGUGUGUUCAGGAGGAUGUGGGGGUCAUCUGUUGUUUAGAAUGGGAUACGUGGGUGGAGGGAACGGUGUGUAGAAGCACUUCCUGUGGACGAUGGAGGAUCCAGCCUCUGGGUUUUCAUCCUUACUGAUCCACAUCUGCAGGAAGGUGGACAGGGAGGCCAAGAUGGAGCCACCGAGUACACUGACUGGGAGCAAUUAUCUACACAGGGGGAGAUGAGAGGUUAAGAGAAGGAGGUUUCAUAAGUCUGAAAAUUAUAUAUUUUGAAUAAUUAUUAUAUAUAAUUAUUUUUUUUACAUUUGAUCGUUUUCAUGUUUUUUUGUUAUUAUAAGAAGGAGCGAAAAUGGCAAGUGUCCAAUUCCAGAAUAUCAUUACAAUGAAUGAACAAAUCUUUGAAGCCCACACACACCUGCUUUACGUCGUAGCCAGACACACCAACACAACGUCGCUACAGUAACGUGUGUGUUUCGUUGGCAUGCUCUCAGCCAUUUACCUUGAUCUUCAUGGUACUGGAGACCAGGGCUGUGAACUCUUUCUGCCUGUGGUCAACGAUACCAGGGUACAUGGUGGUUCCACCAGAUAUGACAUUGUUGGCUUACAGGUCCUUACAGAUGUCAGUGUUUGUAGUAUUUAUUUUAUACAGUAUUUUCUUCUCAUCUUUAUCAAGGGUGGCAAUAAUGUUGGACCUAACUAUAUAUAAAAAAAAACAUGAGCUGGCGCACGCCCAGAAUAAUAGUUUGUGGAGGUGCUGACUAACGGCCAAUAAACUAUCAAAAGAAAGAAAGUCGAAACACUAUGUAUAAUCUCCCAACAAUUUAAUGGGUAUUUACCAACGUUUCGGCAUCACUGUGCCUUUCUCAGGGUAAUAUCAUGAAUCCUUGAACCAGGUUAUGUAGACACACAGUGCAAUUAGUGUAACCAAUGACAGUGGUGAGGGGUGUCUCGUAAUGAUUAAGUUAAAAUUAAUUAGUGAAACUGUUAAAAAAAUUGUUUAUGGCAUAUUAAAUAUUACGCUAUUGUUAUCAUAUAGAAACAUAAUGGAAUAUUGUACAUCAUAUUAGCAUCAACAUACAUUUUUUCAUUCAAUUUCACAUAAUAAUUUAAUAUUUAAUUUGUUACAUAUAAUCUUUUGGUUCAACCUUAAUAUAUAAUGAACAUCAUCAACAGGGGGAACAUAUUAGGUGUACGAUAAUAAGCUGUAAAAAUAAUCUCUCAAUUUAUUAGACUUGUUCUUAAAGGAAAAUGUGUUCAUAAGAAGGGGCUGAGAUCAAAGUCAAAAUUCAGACCACUAGGGGUCAAUGUUUUUAGAUAGGAUAUCCAGUAAUCUUUGCAAAUUAACUCAAUAAAAGGACUCAGGGAGAGGCGAAGGUCGAGAGCCAUGCGUCCUCCGAAACACAACCCAACCGCACUGCUUCUUGACACAAUGCCCACUUCACCCGGAAGCCAGCCGCACCAAUGUGUCGGAGGAAACACUGUACACCUGGCCACCGUGUCAGUGUACACUGCGCCCGACCCGCCACAGGAGUCCCUAGUGCAUGAUGAGACAAGGAUAUCCCUGCCGACCAAACCCUCCCCUAACCUGGACGACGCUGGGCCAAUUGUGCGCAGCCCCAUGGGUCUCCCGGUCGCGAACCCAGAAUCUCUAGUGGCACAGCUAGCACUGCGCCACUCAGGAGGCCCAGAUUGGCUGUUUGAUGGGGAAUGUGGUUUGUGACUUUAAUAUAGGAUUUAUUUAGUAACAUAAAUAGUUAUUAGUUAAGGUAAUUCUGAUGAGAUACAAUCAUUAUAGUUUUUUCCAUGAUUUGAAUCCUUCUCUUCUCAGUUGUUGGAUGACAGAUGUAUGAAGGUUGCUUAGGAAGUCAUCUAUAAUGGGAGGGAAAGAGAAUCAAUCAAUUUGCAAAGAGGUCUAACAUUGUAAUAGACAACAGCAUCAGACGCCCCAAACUGUCUGUCGCAUAGACCUACUAGGCCUACAACACAAAACAGCACGUUUAAAGUCAGAUUGUCAUGUGAAAAAAAUAGCACUGUAUUGUACAUAUCCCGUGAUCCAAAGGCUCUCCCAACUCCAACUCCAUCAUCAGGAUAGCCAGCUCGUUGACUUCGUCCAUUUCGCUCCUCCUGGCCGCAUGGAUACCGGUCAGGGGACUAAACACCUCCAGAGGUUGAUAGUUGUUCACCACUAGGAUGCCCGUGUCAGGCCACCGCUCCGUGUCUCUAACUGGAUGCUGCUGCUGCUUCUGCCCCGCAUUGCAAUGAUUAUGGUCCUGCAAAAUUGAGGUCCAAAUAUCCCCGCAUGCAUUGGACUGGUCAUAGAAAGAGGGAAAGAAUCUGGAUUUGUUGACAUUCAUAUUGUUUUCACUUUUCAGUAGGUCAUGAAUUCUCGUUUGUUUGGAUUCGAAAGGUGAAUGCACCUGGUGAUUCUGGAACCUUUACCUGAAGUAAAGCUCCAGUGUUUCUUAAGAUCUUGAUUUUAACAUUCUGGUUGCCAUCUACCAGGGACACUACACCAUCUGAAAUAAAGGCUGAAAAAUCACAGCGGGAAGACUGAGAAUCAAACUCAACGAGUGGCUGAAAAAGCUCACCCUGGUGGUCAGAGGCUGUAACAGGACUUGCCAUCACAGCAGGUUUAACUUGACCUGACUGUUUUGAUUUAAGCAGAGGACAAUCUUUCAACUAAACAGUAGCGACAGGUAUUAGCAUUAACCGGUGCUUUAAGUCCUCCAGACCCAAACUUCUGCUGAGGCCUUUGGACAGAAGCUCCAAAAAAAGGUGACCUAUUGUUCCUAGGAGUAAAGUUAUUUUUAUGGUACAUGUCACUGUUUGACUCAAAAUGGCUUUUAUAUGUUAGCCUGUAUUCAUCUGCAAGGAUUGCUGCAUCACUUGGAGACUUAACUUUACGUUCAUUCAUGUAUGCAGCAACCUGGUCAGACAGAAUUUUUGAACUGUUCUAACACAAUCAAAUUAGACAGACCCUCAACAGUACUAACUUCAGAAGCUGUACACCAACGAUUAAAUGCAGAAGUCAAAUCACGAACAAACUCAGAAUAGGUUUGUGAAUCUAACUUUUUCCUGUAACGAAAACGUUGACGAUAUGCCUCUGGCACAAGCUCGUAGACCUUCAGAACUGCUGAUUUAACUUUAGCAAAAACGUUGCUGUCAGCUACACUCAGUGCUGCAAAACGUGCUUUACCUCACGUGCUUUACCUGUAAGUACACAUUGCAACAACAUAGUCAUGUCCAAAUCUGACCAAGCUCUAGCUUCCGCAAUACGCUCAAAUAAAGCAAAGUAUGUGUCUGGAUCUGACUCAUCAAAUUUAGGCAACAAACAAAGAUUCUGUGAAACAUCAAACUGUGGUAGUCUUUCUGGUCUAUUAGCAUUUCUCCUAUUGCUCUCUCUAACUGCAUUUGCAACAGUUCCCUCUGCUGCUCAAAAGUUACUGAAGGGCUAGACUGAACUUGCACCCUCACUACUAGCAGACUGACUGCCAAAAACAUUCAUUUCCCUAAGACCCUGCUUUAAGCUAGUUUUAACAGUCUCUUGAUGUUUUUUAUCAACAAUCUCAAUCUGAUAAUGUUCAGCAAUUUCAAUUAAAUGCUCCUUAGUACACAACUCUAAGGCUACCUCUGAAGGAACUUGAACAAAACUACUCAAAAUGGAAGACAUUUUCCUCAACCAAUACAACUAUUACAAAUGCUCCAAAAAACACAACUCACCUGCUGUCAGUCUGGGUUCAAGGACAGGAGCCACACCCCACUAUCCUCCAAAAACGACUAACUGGCCCUGGCCUUCGUGCAGUCACACGUGGUGGGGUUUUAUGCACACAACCAGUGGAGUGGAAAAGACAACCAGAAACUGGCAGCCCCCCCCCAUAACCACGGAGGUGCUCCCGAGCCGAUGUAGGGGAAAAGGGAAAGGGAUGUUCUACCCACGUUCACUGCCAUCUAAAACAAAAACACCACAAACCUCCUAUUGACACUCGCUGAUAAGCCUGAACAGUAGAGGACUCCCACCUGAACAAAAACAGAGUGAAUUGCUUAGCUACCAAGCUAACUGAAACAAAAGAAACCAUGGCUCAACGCUCUCUUCAACAAAAUUGGCCCAACCAAAACAUCCCCUCAAACAUUUUUUUUGGGGGGCAAACUUAACUAAACUAACCCAAGUUAAAACCUCUACCGAGUACCUAACCCGGAUCCGGGAGCACCCCCCACCCCCCCCCCCCCACACUGAUUAGCAUCGCUAGCAUAGCGUCACAAUUAAAUAGUAGCAUCUAAAUAUCAUUAAAUCACAAGUCCAAGACACCCAAUGAAAGACACAGAUCUUGUGAAUAAAACCACCAUUUCAGAUUUUUUAAAUGUUUUACAGGGAAGACACAAUAUGUAAAUCUAUUAGCUAAACACGUUAGCAAAAGACACCAUUUUCUUACUCCAACAGUUUUUUCCUGCGUCAGUAGCUAUCACUAUUUCGACUAAAUGAAAAUAUAUAUAGCCACUAACCAACAAACAAAUUCAUAAGAUGACAGUCUGAUAACAUAUUUAUGGUAUAGCAUAGUUUUUUUUUUUUAAAUGCAUUUUUCAGGUAUAAAUCACAGUUCUACAUUGCAGCUGCAAUCUGAUAUAGUGCUGAUGCAGCUAGAACAAUUACAGAGACCAACGUUAUAUAACUAAUUACUUGUCUUAAAACAUUUCAGAAAAAAUACACAGCGUACAGAUAUUGAAAGCCCAACAUCUGGUGAAUCCAAACAAUAUUUCAGAUUUAUUAAAUGUUUUAUAGCGAAAACAAAAUGUAGCGCUAAAUUAGCAUAGCCACGCCAGCCAGAACCAGCUGGGCGCGCCCGACCAGUUCACAUGCACGACAGAUAUAUGAAAUAACAUCGUAAAUUGGGUCUUACUAUUGCUGAUCUUUCAUCAGAAUGUUGAUCAAGGUGUCCUUAGUCCUGAUGAGUCGUUCAAUCCAUUCACAAUGGCAACUUUCCCUCUUCAUUUAGCCUGGGUACUGGUCGACUGGCACGAUUCUGUCCAAAGUUAAAAAACUCACAGAACGGAACACGGCAAAACUCCCGAAAAAAUUCAAAUAAUCUGAUUAAACUAUAUUGAAAAAACAUACAUUACGAUGAUAUGGUCACAUGUAUCAAACAAACUUCGAGACGGAGAUAGUUUUCAUCCGUAACGUCAGCAUAACAAAAGACAAUUGCACCUCUAAAACGCUCGUUUCAGAAAACCGGAAGUUGUCGGUCACGCUAAAGAAAUAGGUCUUAUUUCACGUCAGUACAAGAUAAACAAAACAUUUCUCCUCUGACGUCUUCCUGACACCCAGAGGAAGACGAAUGAAGUGUGUUUCGGGUCAUAGGUGGCGUGACCAUAUAUAGGCAGAGCGUUGAAGCGAGCAUACACAUCUUGCAAUCUUCUUCUUGCUCAGGGAAUGUGCUGUCAAAUGACUUGUGUUUCACUCAGAGACAAAAUUUAAACGGUUUUAGAAACCAUAGCUUGUUUUCUAUCCAAUGGUAUAUGGUUAUAUGCAUAUAGUAACAGCAAUAAUUGAAUAAGAGGCAGUUUAAUCUGUAGAGGCAAUUAUGCUAAUGCGAAAACAGCACCCCCUGUAUUCUCAAGAAGUUAACUACUAUCCCGGAUGAGCCCCCACUUGUCACAAGCCGGCUCAUAGCCUGUGACAAAAAUGAGGGGACACGAAUAACAGGUAUAGGCCAAUUAAAAGUGUUCUUCAUUAUAAACAAAACUAUUAACUUUAAACUAAGAAAAAGGAAUGAGGUGUGGAAGUAUCAUAAUUUUUUUAUUUUUUUAUUUUUUAUUUUACCGUUAUUUUACCAGGUAAGUUGACUGAGAACACGUUCUCAUUUGCAGCAACGACCUGGGUAAUAGUUACAGGGGAGAGGAGGGGGAUGAAUGAGCCAAUUGUAAACUGGGGAUAAUGUAAGGUGUAUGUAAAGUGCAUGGAUGCGUGAAUAUGUGUGUGUGAACAUGACUGAGUGAAAACUAUGUACAACUACAAAGGAACAAACAAAACAUGAUCAUACCUGGAGGAGAAGAGAGAGAGAUGAUUAGUGAAGCAGCAGUUUAAAUACCCUGAGCCCAGGUGACUCCAAUCACUGACGACCCUUCUCUGCCUGCAGGAGGAACCGUCCCCUGCACUGCAGAGGAGGGGCCGUGACAAUGUUCUAAACCUUUUGUUGCAUUGUAAUUUGCGCAGUAGGCUAAACCAGUAGGCUAAGCAAAAUGCUAAAAGGAAACACUUAAAUCGAGAAAAAAAAAUCCUAAAUCAAAUAAAUUCUUCAAUAUUAUGUAGCUUAGCAUAUUUAAUUUCAACCUGGUGGUAGGUCUAUAUGUUAGAAUUUACUGCACAGAUAAUAUUGAGCAGACUCAAUCAGCAGGAACCCCCCUUUAAUUAUAUCACCCUAUUGCAGAACAAUGUAAUAUGUAAUAUGUAAUAUGUAAUAAUGUAAUAUGUAAUAAUGUAAUAAUGUAAUAAUGUAAUAAAUGUAAUAAAUGUAAUGUAAUAAAAUAAAAAGGCUACUGGAGUUUGUACAUUUCAGACUUGAUAAUCCCUUAUGAAAAAUGUAUCAACCCCUACACAAAUGUAAAUGUAUUAUAAUCCACAUAAUAAUUCACAUUUCCUGUUGCUGCAGGAUUCUUUCCCCGCUGUAUCAAACUGGCUCAAAUUCAGAUGCUACUUCUAUACUGCUUGAUUUUCCGUGUUUAUUGAUUUCACCAGCAAUCAAUAGUUUGACAAGAGUAUGAAGAAAUUAGUGUAUUUUCAAAGUAGGUCUACACUAAUAAUUAAAAACACCCAGAGUGUAAUGAACACGAGGGGAGACAGAGAGCUGGGUUCAAGCGCAGGGCACAGCAGGUGUUUAUUGCAAAGGACCACAGGAGGAGGCAGUAACUACAGUCGUGGCCAAAAGUUUUGAGAAUGACACAAAUAUUAAUUUUCACAAAGUCUGCUGCCUCAGUUUGUAUGAUGGCAAUUUGCAUAUACUCUAGAAUGUUAUGAAGAGUGAUCAGAUGAAUUGCGAUUAAUUGCAAAGUCCCUCUUUGCCAUGCAAAUGAACUGAAUCCCCCCAAAACAUUUCCAAUGCAUUUCAGCCCUGUCACAAAAGGACCAGCUGACAUCAUGUCAGUGAUUCUCUCGUUGACAUAGGUGUGAAUGUUGACGAGGACAAGGCUGGAGAUCACUCUGUCAUGCUGAUUGAGUUCGAAUAACAGACUGGAAGCUUCAAAAGGAGGUUGGUGCUUGGAAUCAUUGUUCUUCCUCUGUCAAACAUGGUUACCAUGGUUACCGGAAACACGUGCCGUCAUCAUUGCUUUGCACAAAAAUGGCUUCACAGGCAAGGAUAUUGCUGCCAGUAAGAUUGCACCGAAAUCAACCAUUUAUCGGAUCAUCAAGAACUUCAAGGAGAGUGGUUCAAUUGUUGUGAAGAAGGCUUCAGGGCACCCAAGAAAGUCCAGCAAGCGCCAGGACCAUCUCCUAAAGUUGAUUCAGGUGCGGGAUCGGGGCACCACCAGUACAGAGCUUGCUCAGGAAUGGCAGCAGGCAGGUGUGAGUGCAUCUUCACACACAGUGAGGCGAAGACUUUUGGAGGAUGGCCUGGUGUCAAGAAGGGCAGCAAAGAAGCCACUUCUCUCCAGGAAAAACAUUAGGGACAGACUGAUAUUCUGCAAAAGGUACAGGGAUUGGACUGCUGAGGACUGGGGUACAGUCAUUUUCUCUGAAUCCCCUUUCCAAUUGUUUGGGACAUCUGGAAAAAAGCUUGUCCGGAGAAGACAAGGUGAGCGCUACCAUCAGUCCUGUGUCAUGCCAACAGUAAAGCAUCCUGAGACCAUUCAUGUGUGGGGUAUCAUCUCAGCCAAGGGAGUGGGUUCACUCACAAUUUUGCCUAAGAACACAGCCAUGAAUAAAGAAUGGUACCAACACAUCCCCGAGAGCAACUUCUCCCAACCAUCCAGGAACAGUUUGGUGAUGAACAAUGCCUUUUCCAACAUGAUGGAACACCUUGCCAUAAGGCAAAAGUGAUAACUAAGUGGCUUUGGGAACAAAACAUUGAUAUUCUGGGUCCAUGGCCAGGAAACCCCCCAGACCUUAAUCCAAUUGAGAACUUGUGGUCAAUCCUCGAGAGGGGGGUGGAGAAAAAAAAAACACACAAAUUCAGACAAAAUCCAAGUGUUGAUUAUGCAAGAAUGGGCUGCCAUCAGUCAGGAUGUGGCCCAGAAGCUAAUUGACAGCAUGCCAAGGCGGAUUGCAGAGGUCUUGUAAAAGAAGGGUCAACACUGCAAAUAUUGACACUUUGCAUCAACUUCAUGUAAUUGUCAAUAAAAGCCUUUGACACUUAUGAAAUGCUUGUAAUUAUACUUCAGUAUUCCAUAGUAACAUCUGACAAAAAUAUCUAAAGACACAGAAGUAGCAAACUUUUUUGAAAUUAAUAUUUGUGUCAUUCUCAAAACAUUUGGCCAUGACUGUAGUAAUGUAGUCCGAGAGAUCAGGCAAUAGGUAGAUAACAGGAAAUCCUCUUAUCUCGUUUGGCCAAUAUAGUGAAACUAUCACCAGUUACUAAUCUAUAGUAGGAGGAGAGCUGUUACGAAUAUCACCGAAGGUGGCUCCCCUUCCCGUUCGGGUGGCGCUCGGCGGUCGUCGUCGCCGGUCUACUAGCUGCUACCGAUCCCUUUUUCCCUUUUCGUUUUGUUGGGUCUAAUUGGUUUCACCUGUUCCUUGUUUGGGGUUUUGGGGUUGGGGUUAUUUAUGUUUAGUUAGCCCGCCUGUGUUCUUGCGGGAUUGUUUUGCUGUAUUUUGGUAUAGGAAUGUCUCUGUUUUUGGAUUGUCCUCUGUACAGCGUAUGUGCCUGUGGAGUACAUUAUUUUUGGAGUGUUUACGCCUGUGUUCGGUGUCACCCUCUUUGUGCGAGGUUAUUGUACGGAAUAAAGUGUUUUUCCGAAUAUUGUACGGAAUAAAGUGUUUUUCCGAAUCCUCUGCUCUCUGCACCUGACUCCACACCCAUCACUCUACGCACCGUUACAAGAGCUCCUUAUUCUCCUAAUGGAAAAUAGGACAAGAUCCUUGCCAUGCGACUGACCGAGUCAGAGUGCUACGAAACACUGUGGUUAAAACAGUUAGCACAGAGCAUAUGACGAUUAACCAGUGAUGGGAAAAGUACUCAAUUGUUAUACUUGAGUAAAAGUAAAGAUACCUUAAUAGAAAAUGACUCAAAUAAAAGUGAAAGUCACCCAGUAAAAUACUACUUAAGUAAAAGUCGAAAAAUAUUUCGUUUUAAUUAAAUAUACUUAAGUAUCAAAAGUAAAUGUAAUUGCUAAAAUAAAAAUAUCAAAAGGCAAAGUAAAAGUAUAAAUAACUGUACAUUCCUUAUGUUAAGCAAAACAUUUACGGAUGGCCAGGGGAACACUCCAACACGUAAGCAUUCAUUUACAAACAAAGCAUUUGUGUUCAUUGAGUCUGUCAGAUCAGAGGCAAUAGGGUUGACCAGGGAGGUUCUUAAUAAGUGCAGGAAUUUGACAAUUUUCCUGUCCUACUAAUCAUACGAAAUGUAACAAGUACUUUUGGGUGUCAGGAAAAUGUAUGGAGUAAAAAGUACAUUAUUUUCUUUAGGAAUGUAGUGUUGUAAAAGUUGUCAAAAAUAUAAAUAGUAAAGUACAGAUACUCCAAAAAACGACUUAAGUAGUGCUUUAAAGUCUUUUUACUUAAGUACCUUACACCACUGUGAUUAACUGUCCCAUUCUGUACUGAUCUACCACAAGUCACAUGGUGUAAACUGGAUGAAGGCAUCUGCAAUCCUGUGACCAAAACCCCUCCUUCCUGCCUUUUACUAAAGUAUCUAUAGAUGAUGCUGGACUGUACAGGUGUACAGUACAAGUGAAUAAAGAUAGACGCUACAUCAUUAGCAAUUCCAUCGUUGUAAUAGUAAAAUCUACUUUCUUCAUUCAAUACAAACACUGUCCGUCUAUACCUCUUACCUAGGUCUUCUACAUGUGUAAACUACAGCGCAUGGAGAAUGGUUUUAUUGAUGUCGGGGAAAAUAAAGUAGAUGUUGUUCCAGUUUGGAACCGACAUGUUGCUCGACAUUAUUCAUCGCUUCAAUGCACGUAAAGGUGGUGGAAUUAUGAGGGAAUGAAGUCAAGGUCCGAAUACGGUUUAUCUGUAGACACACCUCCGACACACCUUCCUUUCAUUGAUCACCACCCCAAAAUAAAUAGCGGGUGAAUAGCAUGAUAUUCUCAUGCUCAAAUUCAAGGACAGAAUACACAUAGAAAGGAAAGUGCAUAAAAACAGCUUCUACCCCCAAGCCAUAAGACUGAACAUCUAAUCAAAUGGCUACCCAGAAUAUUUGCAUUGCCCCCCCCCCCCCUUUUUUACACCGCUGCUACUCUCCGUUGUAAUCAUCUCUGCAUAGUCACUUUAAUAACUCUACCUACAUCUACAUGUACAUAUUACCUCAAUAACCGGUGCCCCUGCACAUUGACUCUGUACCGGUACCCCACUGUAUAUAGUCUUGCUAUUGUUAUUUUACUGCUGCUCUUCAAUUACUUGUUACAUUUAUUUCUUAUUCUAAUCUGUUUUUAUUUUAUUUUUAACUGCAUUGUUGUUUAGGGGCUCGUAAGUAAGCAUUUCCCUGUAUUGUGACUAACCAACAUAACCGCAUGUGACUAAUAACAUUUGAUUUGAUAAAAAAAAUAUUCAUCUGGUGUCAAGAUGUGACUUGAGGGGUAAGAAAACAUUGAGACCAUGAAAAAAUAUUAAAGCAAAUAGAUUGUAUACUAUAACAGAAGUAUUUCCUAGAGUUGGCCAGCAGGUCUGGGAUCGAUCAGAGAUGUAUUUCAUAGACUCUCUUUCUUUGUCCCUGUUUGUCUUAGAUUGUAUAAAACACUGUCGUGGUCACAAGGAUUGUGCUACAUCUCUCCUUAAAAUAUUCUAUGUUUGAUUUGGGACAAAACAAAGUUUGAGAUUGAUUUAACCUUUUUGCGUAAUACUCGUCAAAUGGAAGUGUAAUACUGUAUUUCAAUAUGUACAAUGUAUUAUUAUCUGUAGGCUUAGUAGACAACAGAAAGCCUUGACUAAAUCCAGAACACAUGAAAUACAUGUAUUUAUUUCAAGAGGUGUAGGGUCUUUUCAGAAUAGGCCAACAGUAAUGUUUGGAUGCACUGGCAGACCCAGUUUAUGUGGACUCCUGUUUAUCUGUAUCCAUCUCAACAAGAUCAUGAUCAAAGAGCAAGGCAGAUAAGACCACAGACAUUAUAUUGGUUUAGAUGUUAGCAGCAGACAUACGCUUCAUAAAAACCACAGAGGAAGUAGUGGUAGCGGAAGUAGCCCACAGAUAAAAACAGUCAAACAGUGCCUUACGUUGCAUUAGACAAGACAAAGACGAGUAUAGUUCAAUGUGUAUUAUCAGUGAACUAAAGACCAAGGCUCAAAUGAAGACAAUGGAUACAUAUACGUCUAAUGAAGGAGGGAAAGGCUUGGUUGGGGUCCUCCUCCUGCUGUUUGCAAAACAACUUCAAGUUACUGACCAGAAUAUUUCUAAUAUUUUCUUCAAGCUACUUUUCAAUGUUUUUAACAUAACAUUAUUCUCUGAUUAUGAACAGUGUGCUCCAAUUAUUUUAUUAAUGAUGCUGAUGAUUCAUUAUUUAAUGUAGUGACUGCCUGGUGAAGGCUAUGCUAUGUGUGAUGUCCAUUAAUGCCAAGUCAAGUUUUGAGAAUACUCUAAAACAUUUGUUGUUACAGAAUCCAAUAUUUCGCUGUGGUGUUUCAUAAUAUUUUUCUCCCACAGGGCAACAUCCCAUCUGUGAUGACUAUAUUAGAGUGUCUCGGAACACUGUGGUUCAAGCUUUUGUCAUGGAGAAACUGACGAUUAACUGUACUGUAGGAUUCUGCACUGAUCUACCACAAGUCACUUGGUGUAAACUGAACAAAGAUAUCUGCAAUCCUGUGACCAAAACUCCUCACAUCCAAACCCAGUGGAACUACUUAACAAGUAACUCUGGAAUAACAUUCCUGCAUUUUACUAAUCCCUCCUUAGAUGAUGCUGGACUGUACAGGUGUUUAGCUAAUACAGAUCAAUCAAUGAUCAUUAGCCAUUCCAUCAGUGUCAUAGUAAAUGGUAAGAUCAACUUUCUUCAUGUAAUACAAAUGCUGUCCAUCUAUGCCUCUUGACUACUGUCCUUUAGAAUUCCAUGCAGCUAAAUUCCUGAUUUCCCAAACAGCUAUGCAAAUGAGAUGUUUGCCUUAUUUCAGGCUUGAGUGUGCUUGUUUUAAUUCACAGAUUGUCAAGCAGAGUUUUCUGUGUCUGAUGGCUGUUGGUGGAGGGCUCCCAUCCCUGGCUCUGUCACUGUGUCCUGUGGGGUGAGUUUCAGGUUUGAGCUCAUAGUGUCAUGGUGCAGGGAAGAUGGGGAUACCUGUUUACCCCUAAAGGGUCAGUCCAGACACACCCUCACCUGGAAUCAUACAGGUCCAGGGACAGGUGUGUCCUACCUGACCCUCCACAACAUCACCCUGUCUGACUCAGGGUACUACCGUUGUUUCGUCUCUCCUCCUGACUACUUUGAUGUAGACACCAGAUCUAGCCAACCGAUGGGCCUUCACGUGACCAUUUAGUACAGUAUGUUAACUUUGUAUUGCUGAAGUGUCCCAUUGAAGGGUUAUGCUUUGAAAUGACUAGAUAGACUCAAACUGUUCUGGUCCUCUCACUCUCAGGAAAUGGUGAAGUGGUGGAACACUGUGGAGAAGAUGAACAUCCUGUCUGUGACAUGCUCAGUGUCAUCGUGGACAUCACUCGUAUCAUCCUGUUUGUGGUUUCCUCCUUGGUUGUCAUGACGCUGACCCUGUGUUGGGUUCUGAAAGCCAGAGGUACUGUAUGGUGCUCUAGUCUACACCACAGCAUCACUAAAGAAAACACACCACAAGUACCUUGUCUAUUCUAAAGUCUUGUUACAAGAGUUUUCCAGGUCACCAAUGACCUUUCACUUAUCGUCAUAACUUUUUACUUUAUGAGUCAGGAUUAUUUACAAUACUGUAUCACUGAAACCACAGGUCUUACAUGUAGAUGCCUUGCUGCAAAUAUUAUUAUAACACAUUCACUGUGUCAUAUUAACCAUCUUGCCUUGUCAUCACCUUGGUCUAUAGGAAAAUGGAGUCCUCCAGAGGGGAAUUCAGUAGACCGUGCCAGAGUGGAGCCUGAGCAGAACAUACCACCUGACACUGAGAGGGGUGCAGAAGACCCUGAUAAGACUUACGAUGACUGUGUGUGAUUCUGUGUAGAUACAGUAUACUGCAUUGCAAUGGGGUUAUUAGACCAUUCAUUUGUUCUGUUUUCAGUGGGUCUUGCUGACAUGCCUGUUGCUAAUGAAUGACCAGUAAUUUUCAUGGCAUACUGUAUGAUGUACUUUGAUAUUGAAUGGCCUGUUUAAGACUCAAAACAGUGUAUUGUAAGAUGAUCAGAUAGGUUAUAGAUAUGUAGGCUUAGAUGAGUUCACAUCCUGUUUUGACAUUUAAUGUAUUUUUUUAACAUUAUUUUGUUGAAAUAAAAUAAAAUGGUAGACUACCAUUUGGAAAGUAA
Long non-coding RNA from Salvelinus fontinalis (brook trout), 17418 nucleotides. RefSeq lists it as uncharacterized. The transcript is spliced from 2 exons. The record is from RefSeq and is a predicted model, not a curated record. NCBI's taxonomy places the organism in Eukaryota, Metazoa, Chordata, Actinopteri, Salmoniformes, Salmonidae.